This 557-nucleotide ribosomal RNA is filed under the name uncultured bacterium. Its description in RNAcentral is "bacterial SSU rRNA". It matches the Rfam family "Bacterial small subunit ribosomal RNA", at positions 339 to 916 of the family's 1533-position model. The record is from RNAcentral.
CUACGGGAGGCAGCAGGGGGGAAUUUUCCACAAUGGGCGAAAGCCUGAUGGAGCAAUACCGCGUGAAGGAGGAAGGCCCGUGGGUCGUAAACUUCUUUUCUUAGAGAAGAAUCAAUGACGGUAUCUAAGGAAUAAGCACCGGCUAACCCUGUGCCAGCAGCCGCGGUAAUACGUAGGGGGCAAGCGCUGUCCGGAUUUACUGGGCGUAAAGGGUGUGCAGGCGGUCUGGCGUGUCGAUGGUGAAAGCUCCCGGCUUAACCGGGAAAGUGCUGUCGAAACUACCAGACUUGAGGACGGAAGAGGAAACUGGAACUUCUGGUGUAGCGGUAAAAUGCGUAGAUAUCAGAAGGAACGCCGAUAGCGAAGGCAGGUUUCUGGGACGUUCCUGACGCUGAAACACGAAAGCUAGGGGAGCAAACAGGAUUAGAUACCCUGGUAGUCCUAGCUGUAAACGAUGUACAUUAGGCGUGGGGAGUUUUCCCCGUGCCGGAGCCAACGCGUUAAAUGUACCGCCUGGGGACUACGGCCGCAAGGUUGAAACUCAAAUGAAUUGACGG